CCUACGGGUGGCAGCAGUGGGGAAUAUUGCGCAAUGGGCGAAAGCCUGACGCAGCGACGCCGCGUGAGGGAUGAAGGUCUUCGGAUCGUAAACCUCUGUCAGCAGGGAAGAACGGUCACUGUGCUAAUCAGCAGUGACUUGACGGUACCUGCAAAGGAAGCACCGGCUAACUCCGUGCCAGCAGCCGCGGUAAUAUGGAGGGUGCGAGCGUUAAUCGGAAUUACUGGGAGUAAAGCGCUCGUAGGCGGUAUGUCAAGUCAAGUGUGAAGUCCCCGCGCUCAACGUGGGAGCUGACGUUGAAACUGGCAAGCUGGAGUGUGUGAGAGGAUAGUGGAAUUCCAGGUGUAGGAGUGAAAUCCGUAGAUAUCUGGAGGAACAUCAGUGGCGAAGGCGACUAUCUGGCACAUAACUGACGCUGAGGAGCGAAAGCGUGGGUAGCAAACAGGAUUAGAUACCCGAGUAGUC
Molecule: ribosomal RNA, 465 nt
Filed under: uncultured bacterium
Lineage: Bacteria
Description: partial 16S ribosomal RNA
Rfam family: Bacterial small subunit ribosomal RNA
Source: RNAcentral